RNAcentral lists this long non-coding RNA (1378 nucleotides) under Macaca fascicularis (crab-eating macaque). RNAcentral describes it as "lncRNA (ENSMFAG00000047223.1)". Lineage: Eukaryota; Metazoa; Chordata; Mammalia; Primates; Cercopithecidae. The record is from RNAcentral.
UUGAGGCUGACAAUAUGAUACCUGCUCAGGAGAAACUGAAGUUGGCGUUUGUCACAGUUAAGUAUGAUUGUAUGUAAAAUGACCUAAGUACGGGUCUACAACAUAUUUUCUAUUAUGCAAUCAGUAAGGGCUAUGUUUAUAAGAUCUAGCAAUAUUAAAUCUAUAAAUGACAAUUGUCAAAGAAAGCUGCAUAGUAUAAGCAAACUAACAAAGUUGUUGGUAUCAUCCUGUAUUUGAAAAUGAUUUAUAUUUUAUGGUUUCUCUUUAUGUUUUAUUCACAUUAACACUAGAUUAUUUUCUAAUAAAAUUUUGAAUGUAUAUUCAAAAUUAAAAUACCCUCAAGGUAACAGAAUUCAGUUAAUGGUGAAUGUCCAGAAAACAUAGAGUGUAGACAGCAUGCCCAUUUGCUGAAACAUUGUUGCCACUCAGCCAACUUGUAGUAUGUGCAGUCUUUUCCAGAAGGUUCUCAGUGGGUCAAUAUUUCUGGAUGCUGUAGGAAAAUUAAGGUAAGACAUCUUUUCUUAUUGUUUUUAUGUGUAUUGCAAAGUUAUUGCAACCCCUUUGUUAUUGAAUUUUCACUAGGACAGCCUCAGGCUAAAUAAGACCCCAAAGCAUUGAAAACAGUGUAGAUUCCCCGCAAAGAUCCAAAUUAAGGCUAAAAUCUAACUACUCAUAAUUGUUGCAGGAUUUCCAUUCAGUUCAACAGCAAUGAAUACUUUAGAAUCAGAUUGGUUAGCACACGGUGGUUGGCAUCAUUAAUACCAAAAUGCUUUUGGAAUUACACACUUGGACUUAAAUCCCAAUGUUAAUUUUUAUUGUUUCCUACGAAUUAGUUAUCAUUAUAAACAACCAUUUUUUCAUAUAUAAAAUCAAUAUAGUGAGACAGCACUCACGAGAUUGCUGUGUAAAAAGGGAAUUAAGAUAAAAUAUGUUAAACAGCACAAUGUCCAUCUAGACUAGUGCUGGAGCCUCACAGGACUGCCUCCAUCCUCCUUCUGGGGAGUGUGCCCUCAAAGAAAACAGGGUCAUCUCAUCCUGGCUAACACGGUGAAACCCCAUCUCUACUAAAAAUACAAAAAAUUAGCUGGGCGUGGUGGCGGGUGCCUGUAGUCCCAGCACUUUGGGAGGCCGAGACGGGCGGAUCACGAGGUCAGGAGAUGGAGACCAUCCUGGCAAACAUUGGGAAACCCCGUGUCUACUAAAAAUACAAAAAAAUGAGCCGGGCGUGGUGGCGGGUGCCUGUAGUCCCAGCUACUAGGGAGGCUGAGGCAGGAGAAUGGCAUGAACCCUGGAGGCGGAGCUUGCAGUGAGCCGAGAUCGCGCCGCUGAACUCCAGCCCGGGUGACAGAGCAAGACUCUGUCUCAAAAAAAAAAAAAA